UUGGCUUUCGUCGGAAAUUGGUCGGAAAAUCGUCAAAUUUGUCCGACGACAUUUUGGUCCGUCGGAACCUCCGUCGGAAUUCAGCGUGUUUUCUUGUAGUGUGUGUCUAUUCGGUUCACCAAACAUACUGUCUUCGUUGAGGUCACUGAAACCAAUGAGCCGAUCCGGAGGAAGAGAUUCAGUUAUGCAAGUUCGACCGGCUUUUCGCACUUGCCAACACGAACUCUGAGUUGCCAGUUAUCGUUGGCGAAGUCUGGGAAAUUAGAACAGUUUACAACAACAAAGAGACCCAUAGUACUCAACGCCUUAUGGCAACUAUAAGGCUUCAUAGGACGCCUGCCCAUUUUUAUUUUGAUCAUGACUUUGGAGCCAGCAGCAGUUACCUUAAAAAGGUUUGUAGCAACAACGAAGGCUCCUCCUCCGCUCCUACAAAGUAUGUUUUUUUCUGUUUACGAGAUUUUUGGGAACUAUGCACUUUAUGGUUACUACAAGCUUCUCCUUUAUUUCACUACUCUGUACUUUAGUUAAUUCUUAUGAUGAAGUAACCCAAAAUCAUAAACCAGAUUAUUUUUAUUUAUUUUUUUGGUCAAAAUAAACUAGAUUAAUAUGAAACACAUUUGUCAAACUCUUUAAGCAUUAAAAGCUGUUAAUUUCAUCUUAAAGUUCAGUGUCCCAAAUAUUUUUUGGAGAAAGACCUAGGAAAAAACAAACGGAGUGCAAGAAAUCACAAGAUUCAUAUCGGCAUCUAAAUAUCAGAAAAUAUUUUUAACUAAGUGGAAUUGUAGGGUGUACGUUAUAACGGUGCAGAAUUGUUAGUGUUUUAUAUAUUCAAAUUAUAAUAGCUAAUAAUAAUACACAAACUUUAUUGAUCCACUAAUUACUCUCCAAUAAUUAGAAAAACCGUUACAGAAGCAAAUACCAAGUGAACCAUAUAGGUCCUCAAAAACUCAUCUCACCAUUCUGUUGUCUUUUUUGAAAGGCUACCUAUUUUCCUUAAAAUAUGUAUUGAAUUAAUCCUCCCCAAGAGCUCUGCUUUUAAAAAAAGACCAAAAAAAAAAAUCAAUGGUGAAGAGAGCAUCUAUUUGUUACGGAGAUCAAAUCAACAACUUCAUUGUUUAAUAUAAUGGUAAUGAACUCAAAAUCAAACUACGAGGUAACUAACCACUGCCUCCUACUUUCUUCCAAAUACCCUUCAACAACUUCAUUCUUUGUAGUUUACACAGGUUGUGAUGUUGGACACCCAUGAUUGAACGGGAGAGCUAAACCGGACCAACUCGACUAGCGGAACAAUAC
Molecule: long non-coding RNA, 1293 nt
Organism: Raphanus sativus (radish)
Lineage: Eukaryota; Viridiplantae; Streptophyta; Magnoliopsida; Brassicales; Brassicaceae
Exons: 4
Source: RefSeq, a predicted model, not a curated record